GACGAACGCUGGCGGCGUGCUUAACACAUGCAAGUCGAACGGAAAGGCCCUGCUUUCGUGGGGUGCUCGAGUGGCGAACGGGUGAGUAACACGUGAGUAACCUGCCCUUGACUUUGGGAUAACUUCAGGAAACUGGGGCUAAUACCGGAUAGGAGCUCCUGCUGCAUGGUGGGGGUUGGAAAGUUUCGGCGGUUGGGGAUGGACUCGCGGCUUAUCAGCUUGCUGGUGGGGUAGUGGCUUACCAAGGCUUUGACGGGUAGCCGGCCUGGGAGGGUGACCGGCGACAUUGGGACUGAGAGACGGACCAGAGGCCUACGGGAGGCAGCAGUGGGGAGUAUUGCACAAUGGGCGGAAGCGGGAGGCAGCAACGCCGCGUGCGGGAUGACGGCCUUCGGGUUGUGAACCGCUUUCGCCUGUGACGAAGCGUGAGUGACGGUAAUGGGUAAAGAAGCACCGGCUAACUACGUG
RNAcentral lists this ribosomal RNA (468 nucleotides) under uncultured bacterium. RNAcentral's name for it is "partial 16S ribosomal RNA". It matches the Rfam family "Bacterial small subunit ribosomal RNA", at positions 28 to 507 of the family's 1533-position model. The record is from RNAcentral.